GACAGAGGGUGCAAACGUUGUUCGGAAUUACUGGGCGUAAAGCGCACGUAGGCGGCUUUGCAAGUCGGACGUGAAAUCCCUCAGCUCAACUGAGGAAGUGCAUCCGAAACUGCAAGGCUUGAGUACUGAAGAGGAUCGCGGAAUUCCCGGUGUAGAGGUGAAAUUCGUAGAUAUCGGGAGGAACACCAGUGGCGAAGGCGGCGAUCUGGGCAGAUACUGACGCUGAGGUGCGAAAGCGUGGGGAGCAAACAGG
Molecule: ribosomal RNA, 253 nt
Filed under: uncultured bacterium
Lineage: Bacteria
Description: partial 16S ribosomal RNA
Rfam family: Bacterial small subunit ribosomal RNA
Source: RNAcentral